Molecule: ribosomal RNA, 253 nt
Filed under: uncultured bacterium
Lineage: Bacteria
Description: partial 16S ribosomal RNA
Rfam family: Bacterial small subunit ribosomal RNA
Source: RNAcentral
UACGAAGGGUGCUAGCGUUGUUCGGAAUCACUGGGCGUAAAGCGUGCGUAGGCGGCUUGGCAAGUCCGAUGUGAAAGCCCGGGGCUCAACCCCGGAUGUGCAUUGGAAACUGCUUUGCUGGAGAUCGGAAGGGGUAAGUGGAAUUCCUAGUGUAGAGGUGAAAUUCGUAGAUAUUAGGAGGAACACCAGUGGCGAAGGCGACUUACUGGUCCGAUACUGACGCUGAGGCACGAAAGCGUGGGGAGCAAACAGG